ACGGAAGGCAGCAGUGGGGAAUAUUGGGCAAUGGGCGAAAGCCUGACCCAGCAACGCCGCGUGAAGGAAGAAGGUCUUCGGAUUGUAAACUUCUUUUAUGAGGGACGAAGGAAGUGACGGUACCUCAUGAAUAAGCCACGGCUAACUACGUGCCAGCAGCCGCGGUAAUACGUAGGUGGCAAGCGUUAUCCGGAUUUACUGGGUGUAAAGGGCGCGUAGGCGGGGAUGCAAGUCAGAUGUGAAAUCUAUGGGAUUAACUGAUAAACUGCAUGUGAAACUGUAUCUCUUGAGUGCUGUAGAGGUAGAUGGAAUUCCUUGUGUAGCGGUGAAAUGCGUAGAGAUAAGGAAGAACACCAGUGGCGAAGGCGAUCUACUGGACAGUAACUGACGCUGAGGCGCGAAAGCGUGGGGAGCAAACAGGAUUAGAUACCCUGGUA
Molecule: ribosomal RNA, 437 nt
Filed under: uncultured Oscillospiraceae bacterium
Lineage: Bacteria; Bacillati; Bacillota; Clostridia; Eubacteriales; Oscillospiraceae
Description: partial 16S ribosomal RNA
Rfam family: Bacterial small subunit ribosomal RNA
Source: RNAcentral